UUUAUUUCGUAAAGGGGUGUGACAUGAUUUAAACUAUAGUGUAAGAGAAUCAUUAAAUUAAUUGGUUUUGAAAUCUAUUAAGCCUAGCCAAACAUGUCCUUAGUGGGAGUUAUGGGCAGUUAAUCCAUGAUGGGUAACUGACCAUAAUGCGCGUCAGUUCCUUUCCUUUAGACGUAUUCUUUUCUUUCAUUUGCUACUAAGUCAGGAAAAAACAACACUGAGAGCUAGAGAGAUUAUAGAGAGAAUUCAG
Molecule: long non-coding RNA, 250 nt
Filed under: Panax ginseng (ginseng)
Lineage: Eukaryota; Viridiplantae; Streptophyta; Magnoliopsida; Apiales; Araliaceae
Description: long non-coding RNA (PGIN_LNC011258)
Source: RNAcentral